RNAcentral lists this long non-coding RNA (940 nucleotides) under Capsicum annuum. Its description in RNAcentral is "long non-coding RNA (CANN_LNC021496)". Lineage: Eukaryota; Viridiplantae; Streptophyta; Magnoliopsida; Solanales; Solanaceae. The record is from RNAcentral.
AAUGCUCACCAUAAAGUAAAGAAGACUUGUGCAGUCAAUGUACCAUAUAUCAUAAUCGCAUAUUAGCUCAUCACAAAGUAAAGAAAUGUGCAUUCAAUGUACCAUAUAUCACAAUCGCAUAUUAGCUCAAUUAUAUCGACGACUUGAAGACAAAGCCAUCUAUUUCUUAGGGCAAAGGGCACUCCAUCCUCGUAACUCCUCCCACUCGAUCCAUAAGGUAGUCCAAGUCAUCAAGAUGUUGCCACACGAAGAGUAAAUAUAUGAGGUCGGGAUCCCCGGUCCAUUGAAAUGGUCACGACAUCAGUGGCGGAGUUACAAUUUUCAUUGAGGGGGUCCAGAAGUAAACAUACGAAUUAGCUGGAAGAUGUUCAACAUCUACUAUAUAUACAUAAAAAAUAUUUUUAACCACGUAACAAUGGUAUAAUUUCCGUCAAAGGGUGGAUAAAAGGUGGCUCCGCCCCUGCACGACACCCAUAUUAAACAAGGAGAAACAAUAGUAGCAAUAGCAGCAACAAGCAAUCUGAGAAUAACAAAGAAUUACACUGAAAACUGGCUAUUCUUCGCGGCUCAAAAUAUUGCAGCUACAAUCACGAUCUCCAUCAUUCAAAUUACGAAUAGGAUGUAAGAAACUCCACGUAAAAAAAUUCAGCUCGAUCCAAAAAUGAUGAAUUGAAAAUGCAGAGAAAAAAAAGGAAAUUUUCUUAUAUGAUCUUCUCCCUCUAAUCAAAACUGGCUGCCUUGUCUCUCUUCUUGUAUCACAUACAAGACCAAACCAAGAAUUAGAUCUUUUUCAAACAUUAAUAUGAACCAUAAAAAGAUUUUGAUCCAAAUACCUUUUUGCAUUCACAUGGGGAGAGAAAAACAAAGAGAUAAUGGUAUUAAAAAAACACCUAAGCUAUCACUUUUUGUGAGUUUCACACGUCACACACCUCAACUAUCA